This 484-nucleotide ribosomal RNA is filed under the name uncultured bacterium. RNAcentral describes it as "partial 16S ribosomal RNA". It matches the Rfam family "Bacterial small subunit ribosomal RNA", at positions 30 to 507 of the family's 1533-position model. The record is from RNAcentral.
AGUGAACGCUGGCGGCAGGCCUAACACAUGCAAGUCGAGCGGCAGCGGGUCCUUCGGGAUGCCGGCGAGCGGCGGACGGGUGAGGAAUGCAUCGGAAUCUGCCCUGUCGUGGGGGAUAACCUCGGGAAACUUCGGCUAAUACCGCAUACGACCCACGGGUGAAAGCGGGGGAUCGCAAGACCUCGCGCGAUAGGAUGAGCCGAUGUCCGAUUAGCUAGUUGGCGGGGUAAAGGCCCACCAAGGCGAGGAUCGGUAGCUGGUCUGAGAGGAUGAUCAGCCACACUGGGACUGAGACACGGCCCAGACUCCUACGGGAGGCAGCAGUGGGGAAUAGUGGACAAUGGGCGCAAGCCUGAUCCAGCCAUGCCGCGUGGGUGAAGAAGGCCUUCGGGUUGUAAAGCCCUUUUGUCCGGGAAGAAAUCGUCUGGGCUAAUACCCCGGGCGGAUGACGGUACCGGAAGAAUAAGCACCGGCUAACUUCGUG